Molecule: ribosomal RNA, 253 nt
Filed under: uncultured bacterium
Lineage: Bacteria
Description: partial 16S ribosomal RNA
Rfam family: Bacterial small subunit ribosomal RNA
Source: RNAcentral
UACGGAGGGGGCAAGCGUUAUCCGGAAUUACUGGGUUUAAAGGGUGCGUAGGCGGCUGUGUAAGUCAGAGGUGAAAUCCUGCAGCUUAACUGUAGAAUUGCCUUUGAUACUGCGUAGCUUGAAACAAGUUGAGGUUAGCUGAAUGUGACAUGUAGCGGUGAAAUGCAUAGAUAUGUCAUAGAACACCAAGUGCGAAGGCAGCUGACUGGGCUGGAUUUGACGCUGAGGCACGAAAGCGUGGGGAGCGAACAGG